GUUUCCACCAAUCACAUUCGGCGAACUCACCCCUCGGUCGCGUUUCCUGUGACUGUAGAUUAUCAAGUUUCGUUGGAUUCAACUUUGGCUCGACGCCGUUUGUCUGCUGAACUUGGCUGCAGUCAUGGUGAAAAUAUUUAUUGGUAACCUCGCCCAGGAAACCGAGAAAGAAGAACUGGAGGCUCUGUUCGCUCCAUACGGAACAGUGACGGAAUGCGCAAAGUUUAAAAAUUAUGCUUUCAUCCACAUGGAUGACCGCAAGGCGGCCACAAAGGCCAUCAGAGAGCUUCACUUCCAUAAGCUCAACGGCCGACCCAUCAACGUGGAGCCCAGCCGAGCUAAGAACCAGGGCCCCAUGAAACUCCACGUCGCCAACGUCGAGAAGGGCCACGAGAAAGAGCUGCAGGAGCUGUUCGAGGAGUAUGGCACCGUCUCAGAGUGUGCCAUUGUGAAAAAUUUUGCUUUUGUUCACAUGCCCAAUGCCGACGAGGCCAUGGAUGCUCUGGAGGGUCUGGACAACAGCGAGUUUCAAGGAAAGCGCAUAAAUGUUCAGGUUUCAAAAAGCAGACCAAGAGGGGCCCCUGAGGAGGAUUACUAUCCACCUCCGUCCGGCAGAGGCAGUUAUUACCCGCCUCGUUACCCUGACGACAGGCACGAGCCCUACAGAGGCCCCAUGUCUGCUUACGGCGCACCGCCACCUAUGCCGCCCCCUCCGCCCAGGCGUGGGGCGUACCCCGACCGCUACGGCGACAACUACGCUGGAAUGGUUGAUUACUAUGAGAAAUACCGCGCCCGAGGCUACAGCACUCCGUAUAACGACAGGCGCUCCAGUGCCAUCCCUCCUCCUCCGCCGCCUUCGUCUGCUCUGGCCCAGCGUCUGGGCCUCGACCCAUACGACCGCCGCCCAAUGCCACCGCCUCCAUCGUAUAUAGGCCGGGACAGAAGCCCUCUGCGCAGGGCGCCGCCGCCCCCUCCACCCGCGGGUAACGGCUUCUCCUACGAGCGCUCCCGCCUCUCCCCUGUCUCCAAAGGCUCCUCGUACGGGGUCCCGAGGUCUCGAGACAUGUACUCUGAGAGACUUCCACCGCCGCCACCAGCUCGAUACGCCUAUUAGACUAGUCCAAGUUCCCCAGUUUUGGGUUCACAUUCACGGCCUACACCGACCUUCAUGUCAUCCUGCUGCUGCUGUACUCUGCCCACAGUCUCGGGAUGCUUAGUAUUUGUGCUUCUUGUAGGUUUUUAGAUCGCGUUAGAGGGUCUUCUGAUGGUAAGUGCUGCUUGAAGACGGGAUAUAUCCUCAAGUAAAGAGGUACGUUUUUUGUUUUAUUUUUCUCUCUUGUGGCAUGAGUUGGGAUGUUUACGUUUUCUACACCGAUACAGUUUAGGAUGAGUCGCUUCUCUCUCUCCACACAGGCUUGUUGCCGCUUGCCGGGAGCUUGCAGCGUGUGUCCGGCCUCCCCCGUCAGCGCCUAUAGACACGGUUGGAACAUUCCGUUUUAUCUUAAGAUGGGUCCACUGGUCGGGUUUGGGAGAAGAUGCAUCGUCCACUGAUGAAGACCUGGAUGUGACCGCGCCUUUACUGCAUUUUGAUAAAACUAUAAAACUACUUGAAAAAGCAAAUACGAUCUACACUGAACUGGUUUGGCACGAUUGUAAUGUGCACCAAGUCAUACCAAGCAAUUAGAAACAAAAUACCAGUGUACGUUUUUGCCUUCUUCCUUGUGCUUCACUUCUUCCUCUUAUUUCAACAGUAAAUAAAAAAAAAAACUAUUUUA
RNA transcript from Boleophthalmus pectinirostris (great blue-spotted mudskipper), 1775 nucleotides. It is a transcript of the gene named RNA-binding protein 4B-like, with no coding region annotated. The record is from RefSeq and is a predicted model, not a curated record. The transcript is spliced from 5 exons. NCBI's taxonomy places the organism in Eukaryota, Metazoa, Chordata, Actinopteri, Gobiiformes, Gobiidae.